Long non-coding RNA from Amaranthus tricolor (Joseph's coat), 422 nucleotides. RefSeq lists it as uncharacterized. Lineage: Eukaryota; Viridiplantae; Streptophyta; Magnoliopsida; Caryophyllales; Amaranthaceae. The transcript is spliced from 3 exons. The record is from RefSeq and is a predicted model, not a curated record.
AAAAAAUGCAAAUUCGGUUUUUUUGAAGAACAGGGACUUUCUCUUCUGCGAAAUCUUCGAAAAACCUUCAAAACCUUCGAAAAACCUUCGAUUUAUUCUUCGAAAUCUUCCUCUUCUCUUCAAUUAAGACUCAGAUCUUGAUUUGAAUCUUCUUCUUCCCUUGAAUUAAGACUCAGAUUGAGAUACUAUGGAAGAUUUACAAAAAGUGCUUAAUAUGGAAGAUUCACCAAAAACUUCCAACAAUGAAAAAGAAUUGUCAGAAGGUAAUGUUAUUAUGUUCUUCAAAAAAAAAAAAUACUAAGUUAUGAUUGUGCAUAUUUACUGUCUUUUUUUUGUAAUAUUGAAAAUCUUUGUUGCCAAGGUGAAUGCUACUAUGUUCUUAGAAAAAGAUACUAUGUUGUGAUUAAAAGUUACUAUGACAA